CAAUAGCGUAUAUUAAAGCUGUUGCGGUUAAAAAGCUCGUAGUUGGAUUUCUGUCAAGGACAACUGGUCCGCCCUCCGGGUGAGCACAUAGUUUGGUCUUGACAUCUUGCUGGAAGCUGUUGCUGCACUUGGCUGUGUGGCGCAGUGUUCAGCACUUUCACUUUGAGGAAAUUGGAGUGUUUCAAGCAGGCACAUGCCUUUGGACACAGUAGCAUGGAAUAAUUAGAUUUGGCUUUUGCUCCAAUUUGUCGGUUUCUGGAGCUGAGGUGAGUAUUAAUGGGGAUUGUUGGGGGCAUCCGAAUUUAGCCGUCAGAGGUGAAAUUCUUGGAUCUGCUAAAGACGGACAACUGCGAAAGCGUUUGCCCAGGAUGUUUUCAUUGA
RNAcentral lists this ribosomal RNA (381 nucleotides) under uncultured eukaryote. Its description in RNAcentral is "partial 18S ribosomal RNA". It matches the Rfam family "Eukaryotic small subunit ribosomal RNA", at positions 592 to 976 of the family's 1831-position model. The record is from RNAcentral.